Molecule: long non-coding RNA, 207 nt
Organism: Carassius carassius (crucian carp)
Lineage: Eukaryota; Metazoa; Chordata; Actinopteri; Cypriniformes; Cyprinidae
Exons: 2
Source: RefSeq, a predicted model, not a curated record
ACCAUUGUGAUCUAAAAAAGUCUCUGUUAUAAGCCAUGAACCAAACCAACAAGAUAUGAGAUAAAUGACAACUUUUUCAACAAUUUCAUACUUCAAUUUUUGGUUUGAAGCAAAAAAGAAAUAUAAAAAUUUUAGACUGGACAAAAAGACAAAGGUGUAGAUGUAAAGAACUACAAUCCCAUGAAGCACUGCAAAUGACAGACGCAU